CCGGACCGAUGUGGAGGUAGAGGGAGUGGGGAGGAAGAGGUGGAGGUUGGCGGCGGUGCCGGUCCGGCCGCACCACCACGCGGAGGCGUCGGGGAGGUAGAUGGUAUGGUGAUCGUGGGUCGCGGUAGGUAAGUGGUCGUGGUUGUAGUCGUAGGUGGUGAGUGGUGGUAGAGGUCGGUGACGGCGUGGAGCGCGCCUGCAGGUCUGUGUCCCCAACGCCCGCAGACUAGGGGGCGCGCGGAGGUGGACGAACGAGACGGACGACUAGGAGAAACGACGACGAGGAAAAGUACGCGGGGAUGACGACGUCGGAGAAGAAGGGCGGCGACGAACGACGGAAGAGAAAGUUAGGGAAAACGUCGACGAGAAGAAGAUGACGCGGGGGACGACGAGAGAGUUGCGACGACGAGGAAGAGGUAGAGGGUUGACGUACGACGCGGAGACGACUUCGGAAGAGACUUGAGGGACGACGACGAAGAGAAGGAAUGGAGGCGACGACGACGACGAGAGAGAGAGAGUUGGAAGAGACUUGGACGACGACUUGGGGUGCGAGGACGACGAGAAGAAGUGGUUGACUUCAACGACAACGAAAGAGAGAGAGAAAGAGAGACAUUAAGUAUUCUUUAUCAUGACAUGUUAAUACACUGACAAAAUCUGAACACGAACACUCCACAAGAAAACAACUACACAUUCUUGAUCGAUAUAUACAGUAUAUAUAAGACAUGAACGACUACUAACCAGAGGUCAAAUAACAAGAACACUAUAUUUAUGUAUGCACACACACAAACUACACUUUGUUAAUAUAUAUACACCGGAUAAACAGUCAAUCACCAAACAUAUUUAAGUCUAAUGAAGAUCACUAAAAUAAGGCAUAACUUUAACGAGAGACACCAUCAGUCAACACACUAGUAAAUUAAAAGUCCGAGACAAUAUCGAAACAGGCAUACUAUUUAUACAAACACUACACUUUGUAUAGACAGAUACAGAAUAUUAGAACAAAAAAGGGAGAAAACGAACAGUAAAGGUCAUGAUCAAGUACAACACAACAAAGGAAAACACAAUCACUAAAUCACAGAAUUCAUUUUGUUCUUUUACGGUUUUUCUGUCACUAACGUAAGAAUAGAGAGGAUAUACGAACAAACGUGGAAGAAACAGCUACUAAAAGGCUUUAUACUAUCAAAUCCAAAUAAAGGGACGUUAGUAGUAAAGUUAACACAAUGGAUCUAAAUCGGCUCGUAUCGGCGACUAAACGGAUCAGGGACACCUCUUGUGCUGUAAGCAUCAAACCCGCAUUUUGGGGUGAUAUGAAUGUUGACUAGUGUCGGCGAGUAGCAGGUGUUGAAAUAAUUAGAGAUGAGGAUUACAUACUCAACCAACUUAUCAUACCAAAAAAAGCAGGGUAGUGAAAGUUAACAAAAUAAAACGACCAAAAAAAAGCAGGGUGGAGGGUGGCGGUAUAGGAGUACAACUAAAAAAAUGGUAGGGUUGUUUUUGAAAAGAUUGGAAAAGUUUGAAAGGAUUGAUCUAUACAAUGUUUAUCCGUCCUAGGCUAUCGUGAAUGGUUUGUUAUUUAAAAUCAAAGUAUCGUUAGUUAAGGUUUAGAAUUGAAAGGAUUAAAUAGCUAGGAGCGGAAAAGAUUGUUGUUUAUAGAGAGAAGCUCAACCAUCAAGCUAUGCGUACUAAAAAAGUCGGAGGUGGAGGGUGGUGGUGGAGUAGCAACCAAAAGAGAGGGUACUUUGGCUUAGCGUACUGGGAAGGGUAGGAUACAGCGAGCUGGGAGAUAGAAGAAGAUCCAAGUGGCGGUGGCGCACGGGGUGGUUUUAGCGAACUCACUUCUAGUUAGGUAGGUCUAACCUAACUAGACAGCCACUGCUUGGGACGGAUCUAACCUAAUCAAGCCCACACUCUCCGGUGGCCUGCACCACUGACACACGCUCGCGAGAUUAGCUUAGCUUAGGGCGGUGGCCAGAGCAGGUGCAUCGGUACCGGCUACUAGUGAAUACAACACCGACGCAGGGAGAAGCCUGCCACUACUACAAUCUCCCUCGGCGACCGCGACCGAUCCGAGGGCUCAGGGCUGGCUAGCGCAGCCGAGCGACGAGGAGUGAGUCAUCAACGGUUCCUCCGAGCCCUUCUAUUUCCUCUUCCUCUGAUUGCCGCACGCCGUGUACUUCCCGGGUUCCUCAUUCACUGUCCUAAGACAAGGCCGGAAGAGAGAUUGAGUGGUUCCAGCAGGCGUGAUCCCACAAACCAGUUCUACCACAAUGACGUCCACCUGCUACACGAGCUCGUGGACCUCUCACAACUCUUUACUGAACACGUGGAACUCCUUCCUCGCCAAUCUGGCACGUACCCUUCCUUAGUUGUACACAUCCACCUUUCUCCCCCCUAAGUAUAACCCGGUACAAACGUUCCUCUGGUAGGUCCUGUUUGUUAGUCCUUCCCUUCAUAUCUAUAACUUUUCUCUCGAGCCUGUACCACAGCUCUUACCUUUCCUCCCCAUCUUAAUAAUAAAAAGAAGAUUUAUCUCACACCAAUUUCUCUGUGCUGUUAAUAACUAUCUCUCUUUUUCGGCUUUUUACUCAAACAACAAUAUGCCUACCUUUCGUAUAGUGUA
Molecule: ribosomal RNA, 2617 nt
Filed under: Triticum aestivum (bread wheat)
Lineage: Eukaryota; Viridiplantae; Streptophyta; Magnoliopsida; Poales; Poaceae
Description: partial small subunit ribosomal RNA
Source: RNAcentral